UACGGAGGAGGCAAGCGUUAUCCGGAAUUAUUGGGCGUAAAGCGUCCGUAUGUGGUGAUUCAAGUCAGCGGUUAAAGCGUGGGGCUUAACCUCAUACAGGACGUUGAAACUGGAUUGCUAGAGUGCGGUAGGGGUCGAGGGAAUUCCCAGUGUAGCGGUGAAAUGCGUAGAUAUUGGGAAGAACACCGGUGGGGAAAGCGCUCGGCUGGGCCUGCACUGACACUGAGGGACGAAAGCUCGGGGAGCGAAAGGG
This 253-nucleotide ribosomal RNA is filed under the name uncultured bacterium. RNAcentral's name for it is "partial 16S ribosomal RNA". It matches the Rfam family "Bacterial small subunit ribosomal RNA", at positions 524 to 776 of the family's 1533-position model. The record is from RNAcentral.